This 1527-nucleotide ribosomal RNA is filed under the name Salmonella enterica subsp. enterica serovar Paratyphi A. RNAcentral describes it as "bacterial SSU rRNA". It matches the Rfam family "Bacterial small subunit ribosomal RNA". Lineage: Bacteria; Pseudomonadati; Pseudomonadota; Gammaproteobacteria; Enterobacterales; Enterobacteriaceae. The record is from RNAcentral.
UGAAGAGUUUGAUCAUGGCUCAGAUUGAACGCUGGCGGCAGGCCUAACACAUGCAAGUCGAACGGUAACAGGAAGCAGCUUGCUGCUUUGCUGACGAGUGGCGGACGGGUGAGUAAUGUCUGGGAAACUGCCUGAUGGAGGGGGAUAACUACUGGAAACGGUGGCUAAUACCGCAUAACGUCGCAAGACCAAAGAGGGGGACCUUCGGGCCUCUUGCCAUCAGAUGUGCCCAGAUGGGAUUAGCUUGUUGGUGAGGUAACGGCUCACCAAGGCGACGAUCCCUAGCUGGUCUGAGAGGAUGACCAGCCACACUGGAACUGAGACACGGUCCAGACUCCUACGGGAGGCAGCAGUGGGGAAUAUUGCACAAUGGGCGCAAGCCUGAUGCAGCCAUGCCGCGUGUAUGAAGAAGGCCUUCGGGUUGUAAAGUACUUUCAGCGGGGAGGAAGGUGUUGUGGUUAAUAACCGCAGCAAUUGACGUUACUCGCAGAAGAAGCACCGGCUAACUCCGUGCCAGCAGCCGCGGUAAUACGGAGGGUGCAAGCGUUAAUCGGAAUUACUGGGCGUAAAGCGCACGCAGGCGGUCUGUCAAGUCGGAUGUGAAAUCCCCGGGCUCAACCUGGGAACUGCAUUCGAAACUGGCAGGCUUGAGUCUUGUAGAGGGGGGUAGAAUUCCAGGUGUAGCGGUGAAAUGCGUAGAGAUCUGGAGGAAUACCGGUGGCGAAGGCGGCCCCCUGGACAAAGACUGACGCUCAGGUGCGAAAGCGUGGGGAGCAAACAGGAUUAGAUACCCUGGUAGUCCACGCCGUAAACGAUGUCUACUUGGAGGUUGUGCCCUUGAGGCGUGGCUUCCGGAGCUAACGCGUUAAGUAGACCGCCUGGGGAGUACGGCCGCAAGGUUAAAACUCAAAUGAAUUGACGGGGGCCCGCACAAGCGGUGGAGCAUGUGGUUUAAUUCGAUGCAACGCGAAGAACCUUACCUGGUCUUGACAUCCACGGAAGUUUUCAGAGAUGAGAAUGUGCCUUCGGGAACCGUGAGACAGGUGCUGCAUGGCUGUCGUCAGCUCGUGUUGUGAAAUGUUGGGUUAAGUCCCGCAACGAGCGCAACCCUUAUCCUUUGUUGCCAGCGGUCCGGCCGGGAACUCAAAGGAGACUGCCAGUGAUAAACUGGAGGAAGGUGGGGAUGACGUCAAGUCAUCAUGGCCCUUACGACCAGGGCUACACACGUGCUACAAUGGCGCAUACAAAGAGAAGCGACCUCGCGAGAGCAAGCGGACCUCAUAAAGUGCGUCGUAGUCCGGAUUGGAGUCUGCAACUCGACUCCAUGAAGUCGGAAUCGCUAGUAAUCGUGGAUCAGAAUGCCACGGUGAAUACGUUCCCGGGCCUUGUACACACCGCCCGUCACACCAUGGGAGUGGGUUGCAAAAGAAGUAGGUAGCUUAACCUUCGGGAGGGCGCUUACCACUUUGUGAUUCAUGACUGGGGUGAAGUCGUAACAAGGUAACCGUAGGGGAACCUGCGGUUGGA